This 742-nucleotide ribosomal RNA is filed under the name uncultured bacterium. Its description in RNAcentral is "bacterial SSU rRNA". It matches the Rfam family "Bacterial small subunit ribosomal RNA", at positions 8 to 796 of the family's 1533-position model. The record is from RNAcentral.
AGAGUUUGAUCAUGGCUCAGAAUGAACGCUGGCGGCAGGCCUAACACAUGCAAGUCGAACGGAGCAGCAAUGCUCAGUGGCGGACGGGUGAGUAACGCGUGGGAACAUACCCUUUGGUACGGAAUAGCCUCGGGAAACUGGGAGUAAUACCGUAUGUGCUCGCAAGAGGAAAGAUUUAUCGCCAAAGGAUUGGCCCGCGUUGGAUUAGGUAGUUGGUGGGGUAAUGGCCUACCAAGCCGACGAUCCAUAGCUGGUUUGAGAGGAUGAUCAGCCACACUGGGACUGAGACACGGCCCAGACUCCUACGGGAGGCAGCAGUGGGGAAUCUUAGACAAUGGGGGAAACCCUGAUCUAGCCAUGCCGCGUGAUCGAUGAAGGCCUUAGGGUUGUAAAGAUCUUUCAGUUGGGAAGAUAAUGACGGUACCAACAGAAGAAGCCCCGGCUAACUCCGUGCCAGCAGCCGCGGUAAUACGGAGGGGGCUAGCGUUAUUCGGAAUUACUGGGCGUAAAGCGCACGUAGGCGGACUGGAAAGUUGGGGGUGAAAGCCCAGGGCUCAACCCUGGAACUGCCCUCAAAACUCCCAGUCUUGAGGUCGAGAGAGGUGAGUGGAAUUCCGAGUGUAGAGGUGAAAUUCGUAGAUAUUCGGAGGAACACCAGUGGCGAAGGCGGCUCACUGGCUCGAUACUGACGCUGAGGUGCGAAAGCGUGGGGAGCAAACAGGAUUAGAUACCCUAGUAGUCC